AUGAACGCUGGCGGCGUGCCUAAUACAUGCAAGUCGAGCGAACAGACGAGGAGCUUGUUCCUCUGACGUUAGCGGCGGACGGGUGAGUAACACGUGGAUAACCUACCUAUAAGACUGGGAUAACUUCGGGAAACCGGAGCUAAUACCGGAUAAUAUAUUGAACCGCAUGGUUCAAUAGUGAAAGACGGUUUUGCUGUCACUUAUAGAUGGAUCCGCGCCGCAUUAGCUAGUUGGUAAGGUAACGGCUUACCAAGGCAACGAUGCGUAGCCGACCUGAGAGGGUGAUCGGCCACACUGGAACUGAGACACGGUCCAGACUCCUACGGGAGGCAGCAGUAGGGAAUCUUCCGCAAUGGGCGAAAGCUUGACGGAGCAACGCCGCGUGAGUGAUGAAGGUCUUCGGAUCGUAAAACUCUGUUAUUAGGGAAGAACAAAUGUGUAAGUAACUAUGCACGUCUUGACGGUACCUAAUCAGAAAGCCACGGCCAACUACGUG
Molecule: ribosomal RNA, 496 nt
Filed under: uncultured bacterium
Lineage: Bacteria
Description: partial 16S ribosomal RNA
Rfam family: Bacterial small subunit ribosomal RNA
Source: RNAcentral